Molecule: ribosomal RNA, 868 nt
Filed under: human gut metagenome
Description: bacterial SSU rRNA
Rfam family: Bacterial small subunit ribosomal RNA
Source: RNAcentral
AGAGUUUGAUCCUGGCUCAGGAUGAACGCUAGCGACAGGCUUAACACAUGCAAGUCGAGGGGCAGCGGGGAGUAGCAAUACUUCGCCGGCGACCGGCGCACGGGUGAGUAACACGUGUGCAACCAACCCCGUACCGGGAGAUAACCCGCGGAAACGUGGACUAACACCCCAUAAUACCUUUCCCCCGCAUGGGGGGGAGUUUAAAACCCCGGUGGUACGGGACGGGCACGCGCGACAUUAGGUAGUUGGCGGGGUAACGGCCCACCAAGCCGACGAUGUCUAGGGGUUCUGAGAGGAAGGUCCCCCACACUGGAACUGAGACACGGUCCAGACUCCUACGGGAGGCAGCAGUGAGGAAUAUUGGUCAAUGGGCGAGAGCCUGAACCAGCCAAGUCGCGUGAGGGAAGAAUGGUCUAUGGCCUGUAAACCUCUUUUGUCAAGGAAGAACAUGUAGUACGUGUACUACCCUGCCAGUACUUGACGAAUAAGCAUCGGCUAACUCCGUGCCAGCAGCCGCGGUAAUACGGGGGAUGCGAGCGUUAUCCGGAUUUAUUGGGUUUAAAGGGCGCGUAGGCGGGACGUCAAGUCAGCGGUAAAAGACUGCAGCUAAACUGUAGCACGCCGUUGAAACUGUCGACCUGGAGACGAGACGAGGGAGGCGGAACAAGUGAAGUAGCGGUGAAAUGCAUAGAUAUCACUUGGAACCCCGAUAGCGAAGGCAGCUUCCCAGGCUCGAUCUGACGCUGAUGCGCGAGAGCGUGGGUAGCGAACAGGAUUAGAUACCCUGGUAGUCCACGCCGUAAACGAUGCUCACUGGAUCUUGGCGAUACACGGCCAGGGUUCAAGCGAAAGUAUUAAGUGAGCCACC